RNAcentral lists this ribosomal RNA (206 nucleotides) under uncultured bacterium. RNAcentral describes it as "partial 16S ribosomal RNA". It matches the Rfam family "Bacterial small subunit ribosomal RNA", at positions 1297 to 1500 of the family's 1533-position model. The record is from RNAcentral.
AUUGUAGUCUGCAACUCGACUACAUGAAGCUGGAAUCGCUAGUAAUCGCAGAUCAGAAUGCUGCGGUGAAUACGUUCCCGGGUCUUGUACACACCGCCCGUCACACCAUGGGAGUCGGAAAUGCCCGAAGCCGGUGACCAAACCAAUAAGGGAAGGAGCCGUCGAAGGCAGGUCUGAUAACUGGGGUGAAGUCGUAACAAGGUAGC